Molecule: long non-coding RNA, 1808 nt
Filed under: Sinocyclocheilus grahami
Lineage: Eukaryota; Metazoa; Chordata; Actinopteri; Cypriniformes; Cyprinidae
Description: lncRNA (ENSSGRG00000034321.1)
Source: RNAcentral
CUUCUGCAUGGAGAGGCGGUGAACAUUGACAUGGCUUUCAUGGUCUAUGUGGCUCACGAAAGGGGCUUUCUGACAGAAGAGGAGAAAAGACGUAUCAUUGUGUGUAUGCGGAGCCUAGAUCUUCCUGUGUGGCAUUCAGACUGCACUCUGGAUCUAGUACUGAAGUCCCUUACUGAACGACUCAAGCACUCAGGAGGAUUUCUGAGAAUGCCUCUACCCACAGCGCUGGGAAAAGCAAGAAUCUUCAAUGACACAGAAGAGAGCAUUGUGUGCCAAGCGUUCAAGAAAUGGUGUGAUGAACAGUGUGAAACCACCAUGAAACCAGAAUAACACAAAUGUUGAGUCUGAUUAUAUUCCUGAACCAAGAAAAACAUCUGUGCUGCAAAAAGAAACACAUCAAAUCAUGAAUGAAAACCUCCAGAAAUUGUGAAAACCACUCAGUUUUAUUUCAACGUCUGUAACAUUUUCAUUCACAAUACACUUGACAAGCUUUAAAACCCAACAAUGAAAUGCUACGUUCCUUAUAAAGCUCACAUAAAGAGUGAAAGGUGACUUUCCCAACAGGUUUAAAGUGGGCUGGCUUCCAGCACUGAAUUCAUAGGAAGUUAAUGCUUUAUAAAGAAAUUCAACCAAAAAAAAAAAUCAACAUUACAAGCUAUCUUAAGUCCUUUCUUAAAUAAUGUUUGGUUAAGCUUCAAAAAUAUAAAACAAAAGUAUAUUAACAAAACGAAAGCCAUCUCUAGCCAAGACACUUCUAUAAAAGACCGACUGUGUUUGUUAUUAAAAGGCGUUUAGUUGAAGUUCGACGGAAGCCUGUUUUGAAGGCACCUUUCAUUGAUGUCACUGAUACGUAUGCAUUCAUACAGGAGCCUUGUGCUUUACCUGUUACCUGAUUGUCUGAAUUAUUGCUCAGAAAAAAAUUGCAACAGCCAGUUUUGCUAUAAAUCCACAACGAGAUACAUAACAGUUUCACUGCAUAUUUAGACUCCACUUGGAAUUUGGCAACAUUUUAGUAGUCAACACUGCGUAACAUCACAUUCAGAGGAUGACUUUCAGUAGUUUCUGUCUAUAAGGGAAGGAGAUUAUGUAAUACACUAUUCUUGAAAGUUUUGUAGUGCUUCAAGACACUUCAGCGUUAAGCCAGAAUACAAUACAAUCUUGAUCAAACCCUGCGGGUCAGUAUUAACUAGGUUUGGUGGUCCUACUGAGAGAUCAUCCCCUCUACUUCAACCGAGGACCGAACCGGUUAGGUUCCACAGUCUAAGACUAAGUCUAAAAUCACACAUAUAGAAUAGAACAUUUCAUUUAAAGGAAUAGUUCAUACAAAAUUGAAAAUUAGGAACAUCGUCGUCUUACUCUCACGUAGCGCUAAACCCAUGUACUGUACAUUUUUACAAAUGUAGUUUUUAUUUUAUUUUUUUUCCUUUUUGGAAAUUGGCAGUCCCUGUUGGAAGCCUGUUUCAGCAUGGAAUAAAAAUAAAUAGGUAAUUGUGACUCUCGCAAUUCAGAUUUUUUCCCCCCCUCAGAAUUAAAUUAUUUUUUUAAGUAAAAAAAAUACGUUAUUUUAAAUUUUGCGGCAGAAACAAACAAACUGAAUUUAAAGAUGUAAACUCACAAAACUGAGAACAAAAGUCCAAAUUGUAAGAUAAAAUGUUGCAAUUAUUGAAUUGCGAGACAAAAAAAAUUGCAAUUAUUUUUGCAAUUGCAAUUUAUUUUUAACAAUUUUUUAUUCAGGAACAAAAACAGAAAUGAAAGACAAACUCUCAAUUCUGAGAAGCAAACUCAGAAUUGUGAGAUAUAAACUCGCA